CCCUGACAGGUCAGUUGGUAAAGACUCCGCCUGCAAUGCAGGAGACCCUGGUUCAAUUCCUGGGUUGGGGA
Molecule: transfer RNA, 71 nt
Filed under: Bos taurus (domestic cattle)
Lineage: Eukaryota; Metazoa; Chordata; Mammalia; Artiodactyla; Bovidae
Also listed under: 2 other names
Rfam family: tRNA
About the family: Transfer RNA (tRNA) molecules are approximately 80 nucleotides in length. Their secondary structure includes four short double-helical elements and three loops (D, anti-codon, and T loops).
Source: Rfam by way of RNAcentral